This 69-nucleotide transfer RNA is filed under the name Luciola kagiana. RNAcentral's name for it is "tRNA-Gln". The record is from RNAcentral. Lineage: Eukaryota; Metazoa; Arthropoda; Insecta; Coleoptera; Lampyridae.
UAUAUUUAAGUAUAAGAUGUAUAAAAGUUUUUGAUACUUUAGGGAAUAGUUUGAUUCUAUUAAAUAUAA